Molecule: ribosomal RNA, 745 nt
Filed under: Emcephalus sp. COL904
Lineage: Eukaryota; Metazoa; Arthropoda; Insecta; Coleoptera; Tenebrionidae
Description: SSU rRNA
Rfam family: Eukaryotic small subunit ribosomal RNA
Source: RNAcentral
AUUCUAGAGCUAAUACAUGCAAACAGAGCUCCGACCGGAGACGGAAGGAGCGCUUUUAUUAGAUCAAAACCAAUCGGUGGCGAUUCACGUCGUCAUCGUACAACUUGGUGACUCUGAAUAACUUUACGCUGAUCGCACGGUCUUGCACCGGCGACGCAUCUUUCAAAUGUCUGCCUUAUCAACUGUCGAUGGUAGGUUCUGCGCCUACCAUGGUUGUAACGGGUAACGGGGAAUCAGGGUUCGAUUCCGGAGAGGGAGCCUGAGAAACGGCUACCACAUCCAAGGAAGGCAGCAGGCGCGCAAAUUACCCACUCCCGGCACGGGGAGGUAGUGACGAAAAAUAACGAUACGGGACUCAUCCGAGGCCCCGUAAUCGGAAUGAGUACACUCUAAACCCUUUAACGAGGAUCAAUUGGAGGGCAAGUCUGGUGCCAGCAGCCGCGGUAAUUCCAGCUCCAAUAGCGUAUAUUAAAGUUGUUGCGGUUAAAAAGCUCGUAGUCGAAUCUGUGUCCCGCGCCGCCGGUUCAUCGUUCGCGGGUGUUAACUGGCGUGUCGCGGGACGUCCUGCCGGUGGGCUUAGCUCGUGAGGGCGGCCCAACUCAAUCCCGCCGCGGUGCUCUUCAUUGAGUGUCGAGGUGGGCCGGCACGUUUACUUUGAACAAAUUUAGAGUGCUWAAAAGCNAGGCUAAAACUUCGCCUGAAUACUGUGUGCCCUCUUGUUAUCGUAAUUGGACCUCGGUUUUAU